This 120-nucleotide ribosomal RNA is filed under the name Plasmodium chabaudi adami. The record is from RNAcentral. Lineage: Eukaryota; Apicomplexa; Aconoidasida; Haemosporida; Plasmodiidae.
UGACUCGUUCAUACUACAGUGGCCACACCAGAUCCCCAUCAGAACUCUGAAGUUAAGCACUGUAAGGCUUGGCUAGUACUGAGGUGGGAGACCGCUCGGGAACACUAAGUGAUGAGUCAU